CCUACGGGAGACAGCAGUGAGGAAUAUUGGUCAAUGGGCGCGAGCCUGAACCAGCCAAGUAGCGUGAAGGAUGACUGCCCUACGGGUUGUAAACUUCUUUUAUAAAGGAAUAAAGUGAGGCACGUGUGCCUUUUUGUAUGUACUUUAUGAAUACGGAUCGGCUAACUCCGUGCCAGCAGCCGCGGUAAUACGGAGGAUCCGAUCGUUAUCCGGAUUUAUUGGGUUUAAAGGGAGCGUAGACGGGCUGUUAAGUCAGUUGUGAAAGUUUGCGGCUCAACCGUAAAAUUGCAAUUGAUACUGGCAGCCUUGAGUACAGUUGAGGUAGGCGGAAUUCGUGGGGUAGCGGUGAAAUGCUUAGAUAUCACGAAGAACUCCGAUUGCGAAGGCAGCUUACUAAACUGCCACUGACAUUGAUGCUCGAAAGUGUGGGUAUCAAACAGGAUUAGAUACCCGGGUAGUC
Molecule: ribosomal RNA, 460 nt
Filed under: uncultured bacterium
Lineage: Bacteria
Description: partial 16S ribosomal RNA
Rfam family: Bacterial small subunit ribosomal RNA
Source: RNAcentral